CCCACACAUGCAGACGUCUGCGGAAUCAUCCUCCCUUUUAAGCACAGCAUCAAAUAAGUGUCUGGAAAAGAAAGACCAAGAUCUGAUGUAGGGUUUGCCCUUCUCUGGGUCCUGCUGGACUGUUUCCCAAGUGAGAACACAGAGGGAUGCUUCACCAUUCUCAGGGAGACAAGGAAAAGGAUGUAGAGCUUGGAGAAUAGCCUUCCGUUGACUUCUCCCAUCAGAAGGCUGCUACAUCACAAUUUCUCUCGUUUUCUGGAGCUCUUCAGAGAACAGCAGUCUUGAUCCCUGCCCUCAGGAAAGACUGAACUUCUUUGCCUCUCUGUGGGCUUGUGGCAAAGCCUUCGGCCCUCCUCCAAUACAUCAGUUCUACCUGGUGAAAACUCCCUCUCUCCUGCCACAGCCGGCCAAUUGCAUCUCUCUCCAAGACAGGGGCAUAAGCGACCUUCUCCCCCAACAUGGUUCCUGUCUUCUAGUCCUGGCUGUCAUAUCUGCGGCUCCUCAGCAGCUGAGAGACUUUUGGUUUGGAGCAAUUGAGAUGGUCUGCUUGCACCUAGUAAAGAAGACCUUGAGCUCCUUUGCUUGUAAUGCUUUUAAGUAUAGUAAGUACAUU
RNAcentral lists this long non-coding RNA (613 nucleotides) under Phascolarctos cinereus (koala). Its description in RNAcentral is "lncRNA (ENSPCIG00000035202.1)". The record is from RNAcentral. Lineage: Eukaryota; Metazoa; Chordata; Mammalia; Diprotodontia; Phascolarctidae.